Molecule: long non-coding RNA, 1347 nt
Filed under: Homo sapiens (human)
Lineage: Eukaryota; Metazoa; Chordata; Mammalia; Primates; Hominidae
Description: HSALNT0386814
Source: RNAcentral
AGAACACCUUUCAGGAUCCACAGCAACGCAGACAACGUAAGUACCAGCCGUUCCCUGAAACCCUUUUGCAGAUUUUUUAAAAACAACCACCUAAAACAUAGAGAGAGAGAGACAAGCCUCUUUCCCCUUCUUCUCCCCUGCGUUAUGCCACCAGUGUUUCCUCAGUAGCCCCUUCCAAAUCGCUCUGCCUUCAAGUUUGUGCAUGUCUGUGUGGCAUCCCUCCUCCUCCUUCACUCCCAUAGUGGAUCUUGUAAAAGGGCUUCAGAUCGGCCCCAUUCAUCUCCCUGGUGAUAGCAGUGAAUGUAGAUAAAUCUCUGGCUGCCUGCUUGCUGCUGGAGUAUGAUUUUUAUUUUGUCUUCUGUGUAUACCUGGGUCAAAAAGUGGGAUGUAUGCAUACACAUACAUGCACAUACACAUAUUUCCUUCUCUCUCCUCUCUCUCCCUCCUUUUUCUCACACAUGCAUACAUCCUACAUAUGUGUGUAUAUGCAUAAACAUAUACACCUAUAUACAUACCCAUACCUGUAGCACAAAAUAUAUACAUAUCUAAACGUUUGUCUGAAAAUAUGCAUAUUUAUAUACACAUACAACCUUACACAUGUGUUUAUACGCAAUCGAUAGGUGCCUAUCUUUUAAUUUAUACCCAUCUAUAUCUCCAUUUAAAUAUUCCCUCUCUUCUCCCAGCAGAGGCUGUGUGCAAUUGCAAUCCAGGAUUAUACAAGCAGUAUUCUUUCCUUAUGAUUUCUAGUUGUAGACCUUUAUCCUCCUUUCUCUGCCUUCUUCGCAGCUGUAGAAUUGGCAUCUUUCCCUGAGGUUUUCCGAGUGGCAAGUGGCACCGGCUGUGGCAUGUAUUCAUGCCGCUUCCUAUGGCAUUUCUCUUCCGAUGUCUGCUUUUUCUUUGUUUGUUGUUGACUAGGCUGAAUGGUGGGGUUUUUUUUAAGUUAAUUAUAAACGAAGUUGAAAUAGCAAACAAGCCAACAGCUUGUCCCCCCCACCAAAAGAAAAAUUAGCCCCACACAAGCGCCUUCUGCUGCAACAGAUGCCCAGAUCACCCCUGGCACGGGCAAACGGGCAAACGAUUUUGGUGGUUUUCAGUUUUUUCUGUUUGUUGCUGUAUUUGUUGUUUGUUUUCCUUGUUUCUUUUUGAUUUUUCGAGGAGUCCAGAAUCCCGGCCUCUGCUUGGAACGGAACAGUGUCAUGGCGGAGACGACGGCCUUUGUCUUGCUGGGUGUGAAAACAUCCGCUGUGCUGGCUCCACUGCGGCAGAAUCAAGUUUAAAGGAAAAAAAGGUACAGACGCCAGCCGCUUGGCACACUCUGCUUUUCGCACUGGUGCAGGGGAACAGGGA